Non-coding RNA from Paramuricea clavata, 73 nucleotides. The record is from the annotation of a GenBank genome assembly. NCBI's taxonomy places the organism in Eukaryota, Metazoa, Cnidaria, Anthozoa, Malacalcyonacea, Plexauridae.
GACCACGUAGCUCAGUUGGAAGAGCAUUGGGCUAGUAUUCCAAAGGUCGUAGGUUCGAAACCCAACGUGGCCG